GCCCCCACCAUCGCUUCCCCCUUACGGCAGGUACAAAGUGAGGGAUCCUGGCCCCCGGUCCGCACCCCUGGGUGCGUGGCACGGCUCAUUGCGAAGAACGGAGGAGUCGGGAGGUUGGAAACUAGAGCCUGGCACAUGAAUGAGUGGGAUUGUGUUCUGUGAUUGGCUGCGAUGGGGGGAGACCAGGGGUGGUGCCCGCCUCUUCCCACUGCGGGGGUGGGUAAGGUGGUUAGACAGAAAAUUGUGGGGUGCUCCCCCCCUCGCCACAAGGCCCUGCCCCUCUCUGUGACCCUGCCCCUCCUCUCCCUCCCCCCAGACUCCGCCCCCUAGGGAGACUGGAAGCCGGAGCCCGAGCCGCCCCCAGCAAGCGUACAUUAGCUUCUUGGUGUAUGUAAUUGCUGAUUUAUUUCGUUAAGUAGCGCCUUACUGCUCUGGGGAUGUCGGGGAGAGGGACUUCUGCUGCUUUUCUGUUGUUGUUUUUUAAUUUCCCGCCGGAGAGCGAUUGGCUCCCGGUUGCACAAUCUGCUAAAAAACCCACUUUUGAAAGCUGCUUGCUGCAUCAUUUUUCCCUUUCGCUUUCGAGCCUCGGAGCCCCCUGCCCUCGGCAAAGCCUCCCUGUCCCGCGGCAGUCACCCAAGCUGAUGGGUUUGUAAACCCACUUUAUUAUCCAGUAACAAUAAACAAAACAAAGGCAAUUCCCUGUCGAAAACUGUGUUAAAGCUGAGAAAGGGGCUGGACCUGGAGGGAAACAGCAGCCUGGGUUGUGAACUGCAGUUACUUGGUGCACUAACAACGAACAUCCCCAGCUGUAUUUGGGCAGAGAUCUCCCAGCCUCCUGUGCCAGCGCAGGACCUGGCUAUCGGAUGUGAAGGAAAAUCUCCCCUGAGCCAUUAGCGGGACAGGGUCUAUGGCGCAUACUCAGCUCAAUGUGCUUGAUUCUAAGAAGCAUUAGUGAAGCAUUUGGUCAGCUUCUUGAGAAAGGAAUUUGCAGACUAAGUGCCCAAUCAAGAAACACUUAACUGACAAUGGACCUUGGGAGACUCCAAUCCACAUAUGAGGAGUCUUCCUGGGACGUUCAAGGUAGCAUGUGAGCAAUGGCUGCCGCCUGCAAACUGAAUCAUGGAUGGAUAUGUGACUUGUCCGUGUGACUCUAAACUCCAUCUUGCUGCUGUGAUUUUCCACAGUAAGAACAAAGUGGAGUCCUUCCACAUGGCAGAGAAUAUAAAAGGCCCUGGAAACCACUUCAUUUUGUCUUCAAUCCUGCUUCGGACUUCUGG
Molecule: long non-coding RNA, 1277 nt
Organism: Chelonia mydas (Green sea turtle)
Lineage: Eukaryota; Metazoa; Chordata; Testudines; Cheloniidae
Exons: 3
Source: RefSeq, a predicted model, not a curated record